RNAcentral lists this long non-coding RNA (597 nucleotides) under Mus pahari (shrew mouse). RNAcentral's name for it is "lncRNA (MGP_PahariEiJ_G0004640.1)". The record is from RNAcentral. Lineage: Eukaryota; Metazoa; Chordata; Mammalia; Rodentia; Muridae.
CGCGUUUAGAGGAUCAGUGGCGGCGGGCCCGCGCGGUGCCAGCGACUAGCAGAGAGAUGUCUUGGCCCCUUCCAGGUUUGGGAGAAUGGAGAGAGCAAGGUGUAGCUGAUUAGCAAGUUAAUUAUUUCAGUACCCCAAGGGUUCAUGCGUGGUGGAGAUGGCCUUGGGGGAGCAACCUCCGGACCUCAGCAGUGUGAGGAUGACGACAACAGUACCCUGGGGUGCUGUCCCCACUCAGGGUUUCUCUGUGUAGCCCUGACUGUCCUGCAACUCACUCUGCAGACCAGGCUGGCCUCGAACUCAGAGAUCUACCUGCCUUUGCCUCUGGAGUACUGGGAUUAAAGAUGCAGAGGCCUCCCAGUGAAGUGUGAAGGGAUGGGCCUUAACCAGGGUUGAAGAAAGAAAGUGAAGAAGGGGAGAGCCCAAGGAAAGGUGGGGACAGUUGGAACUUCUGAUUACACUCUUCUGGUCUACUUCUCAUGUAUCAUAUGCUAUAAUCUCCAAAUUCCAUAUUUAUUGUAGCAGUCUGCGGUGUGUAUGCCCCGGCCGCAUGCUGCUUGGCUAAAAAAGUGUUAAAUAAAACUGUAAGAAACGAUA